RNAcentral lists this ribosomal RNA (1980 nucleotides) under human gut metagenome. RNAcentral describes it as "bacterial LSU rRNA". It matches the Rfam family "Bacterial large subunit ribosomal RNA", at positions 3 to 1977 of the family's 2925-position model. The record is from RNAcentral.
UUAAGCUACAAAGAGCGUAGGGAGAAUGCCUAGGUACCAAGAGCCGAUGAAGGACGUGAUAAGCUGCGAAAAGCUACGGGGAGGAGCAAAUAUCCAUCAAUCCGUAGAUGUCCGAAUGAGGGAACUCAUAUGGCAAAAAGAAGCCAUAUAUCUAUGUACAAGUAAAGUAGUACAUAAGAAGGGAACGUGGGGAACUGAAACAUCUAAGUACCCAUAGGAAGAGAAAAUAAACAAUGAUUUCUGUAGUAGUGGCGAGCGAACCAGAAAGAGCCCAAACCAUAAGUAGAAAUACAUAUGGGGUACGGACUACCAUAAACUACUAACAAGUCUAAUAGAAUCAUCUGGGAAGGUGAACCAAAGACGGUGAAAGUCCAGUAUAUGAAAGAUAAGUUAGGGUAGGUAGAAUCCAGAGUAGUGCGAGACACAGGGAAUCUCGUAUGAAAGAGCGGGGACCAUCCCGUAAGGCUAAAUACUACUUGGUAACCGAUAGUGAACGAGUACCGUGAGGGAAAGGUGAAAAGGACCCCGGGAGGGGAGUGAAAGAGAACCUGAAACCCUAUGUUUACAAGCAGAUAGAGCGAUUUAAGGCGCGAUAUCGUACUUUUUGUAGAACGGUCCAGCGAGUUAUUGUAUGUGGCGAGGUUAAAUUCUAAGAAGGAAUGGAGCCGAAGAGAAAUCGAGUCUGAAAAGGGCGAAUAAGUCAUAUAUAAUAGACCCGAAACCGGGUGACCUAUCCAUGGUCAGGAUGAAGCUAAAGUAAAAUUUAGUGGAGGUCCGAACUGAUUGUCGUUAAAAAGGCACCGGAUGAACUGUGGAUAGCGGAGAAAUUCCAAUCGAACUCGGAGAUAGCUGGUUCUCCUCGAAAUAGCUUUAGGGCUAGCCUUGAGGUAAAACAUGUGGGGGUAGAGCACUGAAUGAUUUAGGGGCCAAACCAGGUUACCGACAUCUAUCAAACUGCGAAUACCAUGUGGAAGUACUCAGGAGUCAGACUGCGGGAGCUAAGUUCCGUGGUCAAAAGGGAAAGAGCCCAGACCGACAAUUAAGGUCCCAAAGAGAUAGUUAAGUGGAAAACGAUGUGAAAAUGCAAAGACAACCAGGAUGUUGGCUUAGAAGCAGCCAUACAUUAAAAGAGUGCGUAACAGCUCACUGGUCGAGUGAAUUUGCGCGGAAAAUUACCGGGGCUAAACUAUCCACCGAAAUUACGGAUUGCAGUACAUUUAACAAUGUAUGCGGAAAGAGAAAAGAAGAAAGAAGUAUAUAUUGUUAAGUGUACUGUAGUGGUAGAGGAGCAUUCUGUAGUAGGAAGAAGCUAAAGCGAGAGCAUUAGUGGACGAGACAGAAGAGAGAAUGCUGGAAUAAGUAGCGAGAGCAAGGUGAGAAUCCUUGCCGUCGAAAGUCUAAGGUUUCCUGGGGAAGGUUCGUCCGCCCAGGGUAAGUCGGGACCUAAGGAGAGGCCGAGAAGGCGUAUCUGAUGGACAGCAGGUUGAAAUUCCUGCACUACCGAUACUUUAAAAAACGUCAAGGGACGCAGGAGAGGAAGGAAAGCGAGGAAGAGGAAAGACUCGUAUCGAAAGAUAUAGUGAAAAAAUGAAGUAACGAAUUUCCAAGAAUCACACUGACGAGAAAAGCUUGAUGACAUUAAGUAAAGGUACCCGUACCGCAAACCGACACAGGUAGAUGAGGAGAGGAUCCUAAGACGAACGGGAGAAGCAUUGUUAAGGAACUCGGCAAAAUGACCCCGUAACUUCGGGAGAAGGGGAACCUAGGUAAAACUAGGUCGCAGAGAAAAGGCCCAAGCAACUGUUUAACAAAAACACAGGUUUCUGCUAAAUCGAAAGAUGAAGUAUAGGAGCUGACGCCUGCCCAGUGCUGGAAGGUCAAGGGGAGAUGUUAGAAGAAAUUCGAAGCAUAGAACCAAAGCCCCAGUGAACGGCGGCCGUAACUAUAACGGUCCUAAGGUAGCGAAAUUCCUUGUCAGGU